This 253-nucleotide ribosomal RNA is filed under the name uncultured bacterium. Its description in RNAcentral is "partial 16S ribosomal RNA". It matches the Rfam family "Bacterial small subunit ribosomal RNA", at positions 524 to 776 of the family's 1533-position model. The record is from RNAcentral.
UACGAAGGGGGCUAGCGUUGCUCGGAAUCACUGGGCGUAAAGGGUGCGUAGGCGGGUCUUUAAGUCAGGGGUGAAAUCCUGGAGCUCAACUCCAGAACUGCCUUUGAUACUGAAGAUCUUGAGUUCGGGAGAGGUGAGUGGAACUGCGAGUGUAGAGGUGAAAUUCGUAGAUAUUCGCAAGAACACCAGUGGCGAAGGCGGCUCACUGGCGCGAUACUGACGCUGAGGUGCGAAAGCGUGGGGAGCAAACAGG